CCUACGGGAGGCUGCAGUAGGGAAUCUUUCACAAUGGGCGAAAGCCUGAUGGAGCAACGCCGCGUGCAGGAUGAAGGCCUUCGGGUUGUAAACUGCUUUUAUAAGCGAGAAAUAUGAUGGUAACUUAUGAAUAAGGAUCGGCUACCUACGUGCCAGCAGCCGCGGUCAUACGUAGGAUCCGAGCAUUAUCCGGAGUGACUGGGUGUAAAGAGUUGCGUAGGUGGCCUAAUAAGUAGCUAGUGAAAUCUGGUGGCUCAACCAUUCAGACUAUUAGCGAAACUGUUAAGCUCGAGACCGUUAGGGGUAACUGGAAUUUCUAGUGUAGGAGUGAAAUCCGUAGAUAUUAGAAGGAACACCAAUAGCGUAGGCAGGUUGCUGGGACGGUUCUGACGCUGAGGCACGAAAGCGUAGGGAGCAAACGGGAUUAGAUACCCGUGUAGUC
RNAcentral lists this ribosomal RNA (442 nucleotides) under uncultured bacterium. RNAcentral's name for it is "partial 16S ribosomal RNA". It matches the Rfam family "Bacterial small subunit ribosomal RNA", at positions 338 to 795 of the family's 1533-position model. The record is from RNAcentral.